UCCGGACUGACUCCGGUCACCGGAACAAUGAAAUAUACCAGGCUUGGCAUAUAGGAGUGUUACAACACCCGCUUUAGGGUAAGGUAAAUUGUUCCACCAAUUACAUGCAACUAAUCUGUUUCAAGAGCGCACCACAACCAUCAUGUAUGCUUGCCCUUCAGAGGUCUCAAGUACAAUAGCACGUUUCAAUGUACAAACUAAUUGACAUUUAGUGGAAUAUGCUAAACUAAAAUGUCCAAGUUUAUUAUUCACAUUCAUUAUUACCACAAUAUCAAAUCAGUCAAGAAGUGAAGAUGCAGAACUUAUUUAUUAUAC
RNAcentral lists this unclassified non-coding RNA (315 nucleotides) under Hevea brasiliensis (rubber tree). The record is from RNAcentral. Lineage: Eukaryota; Viridiplantae; Streptophyta; Magnoliopsida; Malpighiales; Euphorbiaceae.